GAAUGAUCCAUUCAAUCCAAA
RNAcentral lists this small RNA (21 nucleotides) under Arabidopsis thaliana (thale cress). Its description in RNAcentral is "ATSL076730". Lineage: Eukaryota; Viridiplantae; Streptophyta; Magnoliopsida; Brassicales; Brassicaceae. The record is from RNAcentral.